This 253-nucleotide ribosomal RNA is filed under the name uncultured bacterium. Its description in RNAcentral is "partial 16S ribosomal RNA". It matches the Rfam family "Bacterial small subunit ribosomal RNA", at positions 524 to 776 of the family's 1533-position model. The record is from RNAcentral.
UACAGAGGGGGCUAGCGUUAUUCGGAAUUAUUGGGCGUAAAGGGCGCGUAGGCGGCUUUGCGCGUCUUCCGUGAAAUCCCUCGGCUCAACCGAGGACGUGCGGAAGAAACUGCAAGGCUCGAGUCCGGAAGAGGGGGGCGGAAUUCCCAGUGUAGCGGUGAAAUGCGUAGAUAUUGGGAGGAACACCAGUGGCGAAGGCGGUCCCCUGGGCCGGAACUGACGCUGAGGCGCGAAAGCGUGGGUAGCAAACGGG